This 310-nucleotide ribosomal RNA is filed under the name uncultured Pseudomonadota bacterium. RNAcentral describes it as "bacterial SSU rRNA". It matches the Rfam family "Bacterial small subunit ribosomal RNA", at positions 29 to 351 of the family's 1533-position model. Lineage: Bacteria; Pseudomonadati; Pseudomonadota. The record is from RNAcentral.
AACGAACGCUGGCGGCAGGCUUAACACAUGCAAGUCGAACGGACUGCAAUGUAGCUUGCUAUGUUGUUGUUAGUGGCAGACGGGUGAGUAAUGCGUAGGAAUCUACCUAAUAGUAUGGGAUAGCUGUUAGAAAUGACAGGUAAUACCGUAUAUUCCCUAAGGGGGAAAGAUUUAUCGCUAUUAGAUGAGCCUGCGUUAGAUUAGCUAGUUGGUAGGGUAUGGCCUACCAAGGCUACGAUCUAUAGCUGGUCUGAGAGGAUGAUCAGCCACACUGGAACUGAGAUACGGUCCAGACUCCUACGGGAGGCAG